GUCAUCUUCAUUUAAAAUGAGCCUGAUAUUAUUUGUGGGACACUUUGUUCUAGAAGAUUAUUCUGAGCCGUGUUGAAAAAAAUCCUCUAAACGGGAUUGAGUGAUGGGCAGAUGCCAAGGAACUGGCAGUGGUUUUAUGGGCACUGAGAUUCUUCUUAUUUGGUUCCAUCCGCAUCACAAACAAGAAAAUAAAUGAUUUAGGGCUGGUUUGUGAGACAUGUAUUCCAGAAACGACAGAAAUAAUAACAGAGCCAAAGUUUGAUUUCCAGACCCAAGUCUGGCAGGGUGAAGCCAUUCUUGGUACCCAUAUGGUGCCUGGAAUGCAGAAUAAAAUGCUCUUAAGCUCCUCCCUUCCCUUCUUUCAUAGUAAAUUUAUCUGGAAGAAGCAUGGAUACCUGAGGAAGACUGGGCUCCAGGCAUGGAAUGCUGCAGACUGCAGAACUCUUUGAUUUUUCUUCAAAUGAAGAGGAA
This 471-nucleotide long non-coding RNA is filed under the name Fukomys damarensis (Damara mole-rat). RNAcentral describes it as "lncRNA (ENSFDAG00000033445.1)". The record is from RNAcentral. Lineage: Eukaryota; Metazoa; Chordata; Mammalia; Rodentia; Bathyergidae.